RNAcentral lists this ribosomal RNA (222 nucleotides) under uncultured bacterium. RNAcentral describes it as "partial 16S ribosomal RNA". It matches the Rfam family "Bacterial small subunit ribosomal RNA", at positions 524 to 745 of the family's 1533-position model. The record is from RNAcentral.
GACAGAGGGUGCAAACGUUGUUCGGAUUUACUGGGCGUAAAGCGCGUGUAGGCGGCUUUACAAGUCGGAUGUGAAAGCCCACGGCUCAACCGUGGAAGUGCAUCCGAAACUGUAUCGCUGGAGUCCCGGAGAGGAAGGUGGAAUGCUUGGUGUAGAGGUGAAAUUCGUAGAUAUCAAGCAGAACACCUGCGGCGAAGGCGGCCUCUGGACGGUGACGUGACG